GCUUAUGGCCACACCGCCUGGUUCACGGCUGAUCUCGUUUGAUCUCGGAAGCUAAGAUAGGUUAGGCCUGGUUAGUACUUGGAUGGGAGACCGCCUGGGAAUACCAGGUACUGUAAUUU
RNAcentral lists this ribosomal RNA (119 nucleotides) under Scophthalmus maximus (turbot). Lineage: Eukaryota; Metazoa; Chordata; Actinopteri; Pleuronectiformes; Scophthalmidae. The record is from RNAcentral.